Molecule: long non-coding RNA, 3604 nt
Filed under: Triticum aestivum (bread wheat)
Lineage: Eukaryota; Viridiplantae; Streptophyta; Magnoliopsida; Poales; Poaceae
Description: long non-coding RNA (TAES_LNC009448)
Source: RNAcentral
UUGAUUCUGUCAUAAAUUUGUCAUGGAUGUACAUGCAUGACAAAAAACGUGACCUAUUGUGACAAACACGUAUCAUCACGGAAGUGUAUUUUCUUGUAGUGUUAUCCCUCUACAUCAUGUCAUCUUACUUAAGGCGUUACUCCGUUCUUAUGAACUUAAUACUCUAGAUGCAUGCUGGAUAGAGGUCGAUGCUGGAUAGAGGUCCAUGUGUGGAGUAAUAGUCGUAGAUGCAGGCAGGAGUUGGUCUACUUGACACGGACGUGAUGCCUAUAUGCAUAGUCAUUGCCUUGGAUAUGCAGGCAGUGGUACUUUGUUUUGAUGACUAAUAAAUUUUUGCAAUAAGUAUGUGAGUUCUUUAUGACUAAUGUUGAGUCCAUCGAUUAUACACACUCACCCUUCUACCAUUGCUAGCCUCUCUAGUACCACGCAACUUUCACCGGUGCAUUAAACCAACCAUUUACCCUUCCUCAAAACAGUCACCAUAUCUACCUACUAUGGCAUUUCCAUAUCCAUUCCGAGAUAUAUUGCCAUGCAACUUCCACCAUUCCGUUUAUUAUGACACGCACCGUCAUUGUCAUAUUGCUUCGCAUGAUCGUAAGAUAGCUAGCAUGAUGUUUUAUGGCUUGUCCGUUUUUUAUGUCAUUUGCUACGCUAGAUCAUUGCACAUACCGGUACACCGCCGGAGGCAUUCAUAUAGAGUCAUAUUUUGUUCUAAAUAUCGAGUUGUAAUUCUUGAGUUGUAAGUAAAUAAAAGUGUGAUGAUCAUCAUUAUUAGAGCAUUGUCCCAAGUGAGGAAAGGAUGAUGGAAGCUAUGAUUCCCUCACAAGUUGGGAUGAGUCUCUAGACUUUACAAAAAUAAAAGAGGCCAAAGAAGCCCACCAAAAAAAGAGAAAAAGAGAGAAAAGAGAGAAGGGGCAAUGCUACCAUCCUUUUUCCACACUUGUGCUUCAAAGUAGCACCAUAAUCUUCAUGAUAGAGAGUCUCCUAUGUUGUCACUUUCAUAUACUAGUGGGAUUUUUUCAUUAUAGAACUUGGCUUGUAUAUUCCAAUGAUGGAGUUCCUCAAAUUGCCCUAGGUCUUCAUGAGCAAGCGAGUUGGAUGCACACCCGCUUAGUUUCUUUUUAAGCUUUUAUAAACUUAUAGCUCUAGUGCAUCCGUUGCAUGGCAAUCCCUACUCACUCGCAUUGAUAUCUAUUGAUGGACAUCCCCAUAGCCCGUUGAUAUGCCUAGUUGAUGUGAGACUAUCUCCUUCUUUUUGUCUUCUCCACAACCACCAUAUUCUAUUCCACCUAUAGUGUUAUAUCCAUAACUCACGCUCAUGUAUUGCGUGAAACUUGAAAAAGUUUGAGAACAUCAAAAGUAUGAAACAAUUGCUUGGCUUGUCAUCGGGGUUGUGGAUGAUUUAAUACUUUGUGUGCUGAAGAUGGAGCAUAGCCAGACUACAUGAUUUUGUAGGGAUAACUUUCUUUGGCCAUGUUAUUUUGAGAAGACACAAUUAUUUUAUUAGUAUGCUUGAAGUAUUAUUGUUUUUAUGUCAAUAUUAAACUUUUGUUUUGAAUCUUAUGGAUCUGAAUAUUCAUGCCACAGUAAAGAAAAAAACAUGGAUAAAUAUGUUAGGUAGCAUUCCACAUAAAAAAUUCUGUUUUUAUCAUUUACCUACUCAAGGACGAGAAAGAAUUAAGCUUGGGGAUGCUUGAUACGUCUCCAACGUAUCUAUAAUUUUUUAUUGUUCUAUGCUAUUAUAUUAUCGGUUUUGGAUGUUUUAUAUGCAUUAAUAUGCUAUUUUAUAUUAUUUUGGGACUAACUUAUUAACCUAGAGCCCAGUGCCAGUUUCUGUUUUUUCCUUGUUUUUGAGUUUUACAGAAAAGGAAUAUCAAAUGGAGUCCAAACGGAAUAAAGCUUUACGAUGAUUUUUCUUGGACCAGUAGACACACGUAGGUCUUGGAGGAGCAAGCAGAAGAAUCCUGGGGAUCCACAAGCCCUCAGGGCGCGCCCUAGGGGGCGCCCUCUUGCUUGUGGGCCCCACGGGGCUCCUCUAACCCUAAUCCUUGGCCUAUAAAUUCCCAAACGACCAGAAGUGUCCACCAAAAUACUUUUCCGCCGCCGUAACCUUCUGUACCCGUGAGAUCCCAUCUUGGGGCCUUUUCCGGUACCCUGUCAGAGGGGGUUUCGAUCAUGGAGGGCUUCUACAUCAACCCUAUUGCCCUUUCCGACGAAGCGUGAGUAGUUUACCAAAGACCUGCGGGUCCAUAGCUAGUAGCUAGAUGGCUUCUUCUCUCUCUUUGAUCCUCAAUACCAUGUUCUGCUUGAUGUUCUUGGAGAUCUAUCUGAUGUAAUCUUCUUUUGCGGUGUAUUUGUCGAGAUCCGAUGAAUUGUGGAUUUAUGAUCAGUUUAUCUAUGAAUAUUAUUUGAAUCUUCUCUGAAUUCUUAUAUACAUGAUUUAAUAUCUUUGUAUUUCUUUUUGAAUUAUCGGUUUGCUUUGGCCAAUAUUUUCUUUAAGUGGGAGAGGUGCUUAGUUUUGGGUUCAAUCUUGCGGUAUCCUCAUCUAGUGACAAAGUAGAGGUAGCGAGACACAUAUUUGUAUUGUUGCCAUCAAAGAUAAAAAGAUGGGGUUUUCAUCAUAUUGCUUGAGUUUAUCCCUCUACAUCAUGUCAUCUUACUUAAGGCGUUACUCCGUUCUUAUGAACUUAAUACUCUAGAUGCAUGCUGGAUAUAGGUCGAUGCGUGGAGUAAUAGUAGUAGAUGCAGGCAGGAGUCGGUCUACUUGACACGGACGUGAUGACUAUAUGCAUAAUCAUUGCCUUAGAUAUCGUCAUAACUUUACGCUUUUCUAUCAAUUGGUCGACAGUAAUUUGUUCACCAACCGUAGUAUCUAUCUAUUAUAUACAUAAAACAGAAGUCAAACGAGCCAUCGUAUUAAUCCACAUAGCUUAAAAUUAUAUCGUCCCUUUGAUUAUAAUAAUAGCGGUUGAGAUUAAAAGAUAUUACGUAACAUCCAAAAACAUAGCAUAUUGAUAUGUCACGUGUACACAAUCAUAAGCUAUAGGCGUGGAAGGACAAAAACAUAGACUACCAUCACAUAAAAAAAACACAUCCAAACACAUAGCAGAUUGUCACGGUUAGACAUGGAGAAGGAAAGACUACCAUCACGUCAAAAAAGAGGACUUGCAUCGUGUCGACAAAAAAAGACUACCAUCACGUGCAAAAAACAAAACUUUUAAUACUACCAUCACGUCCGAAAAAGAGGAAAAAAAAACUACCAUCACGUCAAAAAAAGACUACGUGAAUACAUAGAUGGGUAGCGUUAGUAAUGACCACACGUACAGGGUUUAGGGAUUCACAGCUAUUCACAGUUGUUUUUAUCUUUUCCCCUACUAUUCCUUUUCUAUUUGGAAAAAAUAAAACGUAAAGGGCUGGAGAUACAAUUCACGUUAGAUAGAAAAGGAAAGAGUGAUAGAAAAGGCAAGAGAAACAAAUCGAAGCGACCACGUCAAUCAAGCUUAAAAAAAGGUAAUCGGCCUGAGAUAGAAUUCAUAGUACGAUAGAAAAGGAAGGACAAACGUAAUCAUAGAGACCACAUCAACUGUCCAAAAAAAAAAACACG